Molecule: long non-coding RNA, 239 nt
Filed under: Mytilus galloprovincialis (Mediterranean mussel)
Lineage: Eukaryota; Metazoa; Mollusca; Bivalvia; Mytilida; Mytilidae
Source: RNAcentral
CGCUACAGUAAUCACAUCAACAACAAACACAACGGUAUCAUAACAUAAUAAAUUUGUAAAUUACAAAGUCACUAGGUAUUUAAAAUAAAACAGUUGUGCUAAUGCAAACAGUUUGAAGGCAAAAUGUAUGAACAUUGAAAAAGGUUGACAAAUUUAUGACAAAUCAGGCUUAGGAUUGUUUUUAUACAAGUAUGGAGUAAUUGAGUACAAGGAGAAAAUUAUCAAGCAUGAAAUCAGAC